RNAcentral lists this long non-coding RNA (638 nucleotides) under Spirodela polyrhiza (greater duckweed). Its description in RNAcentral is "long non-coding RNA (SPOL_LNC000631)". Lineage: Eukaryota; Viridiplantae; Streptophyta; Magnoliopsida; Alismatales; Araceae. The record is from RNAcentral.
UGGGUAACAACUACGUGCCACUGUGUGAUAGUACCCAAUGGUUGACAUUUCUAAAAGCGAAUUUAUGGAGUGGUCACUAAGUAAUGACUAGUUUAGCACCAUGGAUCAAGACAACUUGUUUAGUGUUUAAAGACAUGGAAACUUAAACGAACAAUUUGGCAUCAAAUUCAAUGGCCUAUAGUAUUCGAUAAUGAUGCAUGAAGGACAAAAUGGAUAUGGACAUCACGUUACACUGAUGGUGACGGUAGAAACAUCCUAGCACUGUAAGCAUGACACCAACGAAAUGAAUGGACGACUAUGUUCUUUGACUUCUUUCUGAAAUUACAUCGCCAACGAACACCUUGAUUUCAAUUGAAGCCGUUCCUCUGGUCCGCUCCAAGAAUCAAGAACCCGAAGAUGUCCUCCGCCCGACAACAGACGCUUCUUACAUCCUUCACGCGGUUCCUCCCACGUCCUCUUGGGGAUGGCGUGGUUCAGCGAGCCCUACAUCGCCCAGAGGUCCUUCCGACGAGACGAUAGCGUCUUCGACGUUGAUUGGAGGUCGGUGCUCCGUUUAAAGACGUGGUCCAGAACCGAUCACGUCAUCCCUCUCCUUCUCACGCCUCCUGUCAGCCAUUAGAGUGCUUAGCCGAUUAGAC